Molecule: long non-coding RNA, 545 nt
Organism: Eptesicus fuscus (big brown bat)
Lineage: Eukaryota; Metazoa; Chordata; Mammalia; Chiroptera; Vespertilionidae
Exons: 5
Source: RefSeq, a predicted model, not a curated record
CGCAGAGAGCUACUGGUGCACGGAUUCAUGCGCAGGGCUACUAGUCACUUUAUAAAAAGAUAGAACUUAUGGAAGCAGUUGGAAGAGGCUGUCCUACAGGAGUGUUUAUAUACAGACUUUGAAAAUUAUUAGAUGCUGUAUAACUCCACAAAUUCAGCACAGUCAUGGCUAAAAAAGAAAAGUAAGCUUUAAUCUCUCUCAACUUCCUUGGAGGCAGACAGACAUUGAAACUAAGAGACUGAAAUUUGAAGUUAUAUCAUCUGAACUCAAGCCUUGGGUUCACUACUGACUAAGAGAGCGUGGGGCAAAAGUGAGGAACGGAAGCUAUUGAACUCCCAAGGAACUACUUCCACAGAAGUGAUUGCUGUUUCAGAGAAGAUGACAACUGACCAAGAUGUUUUCCUGAUAUCCAUUUAAAAAUGUGUAUGGGACAACGCAUCUAUCCAUAAGAGAAUAAAUCUGUAUGGAAAUGUGGUAGAUACUGUCAUCUAACCUCUUUCUGGAGGAAGCCACUUUGUAGAGGAUGGAUGGGCCCCCAAAUCAAC